AGGCUAUUAGUUUAAGAAAAACACUUGAUUUCGGCUCAAGAGCUUGUGGUUAAAGUCCAUAAUUACCUG
RNAcentral lists this transfer RNA (69 nucleotides) under Hyperoglyphe japonica (Pacific barrelfish). Its description in RNAcentral is "tRNA-Arg". It matches the Rfam family "tRNA". Rfam says of the family: Transfer RNA (tRNA) molecules are approximately 80 nucleotides in length. Their secondary structure includes four short double-helical elements and three loops (D, anti-codon, and T loops). Further hydrogen bonds mediate the characteristic L-shaped molecular structure. tRNAs have two regions of fundamental functional importance: the anti-codon, which is responsible for specific mRNA codon recognition, and the 3' end, to which the tRNAs corresponding amino acid is attached (by aminoacyl-tRNA synthetases). tRNAs cope with the degeneracy of the genetic code in two manners: having more than one tRNA (with a specific anti-codon) for a particular amino acid; and 'wobble' base-pairing, i.e. permitting non-standard base-pairing at the 3rd anti-codon position. Lineage: Eukaryota; Metazoa; Chordata; Actinopteri; Scombriformes; Centrolophidae. RNAcentral also lists the same sequence under 1 other name. The record is from RNAcentral.